RNAcentral lists this long non-coding RNA (957 nucleotides) under Cricetulus griseus (Chinese hamster). RNAcentral's name for it is "lncRNA (ENSCGRG00015043457.1)". The record is from RNAcentral. Lineage: Eukaryota; Metazoa; Chordata; Mammalia; Rodentia; Cricetidae.
CAUACCCUGAGACUAGGAGCAAUUUGACUUUGUCCUGAGGCCAGUUUACAUAGGAAAUUCCCUGGGGCAGAUACCUGGUGACGUGGCUGACCUGCAGCUGUCCCUAACAGUUUUUCUAUUUGUUACCUUAGUCUUUUCUCUGCUGAUCUGGCCAAUUAGGCUAGAGUCUGUUGCCAGUUUGUGUGCCCCUCUCCCCUCUUCAUAUAAAAACCCAGACAAGGCUCAUGCCCUGUCUCCCUCUGCUCCUCUAUACAGCUUCACCAGCUGACAGCUGCAAUUCCCAAUGUGGUGGGGUCAGCCUGUGAUGUGAGGAAAGGCCCAGAGGCCUUGGAGCUGCUGGCCCUCCUGAGGUGGACACUGAAGCUGGAUUUCUUAAGGGAAGGCAUCCGUGGGACUUGGCAUGUCCAGGCUGCGCCACCUCCAGAGGUGAUGAAGAUACCAGACCUCUAGCCUGUCUGCAGAGUCUCCAUCCAAGAAAAAUGAAAUCACCUACUCUCCCAAAGAAAAAUCCAAGCCCAGUGUGGUAACACCUCACAGAAGGCCACUGCACCACUCCUGGCCAGCAUAGCCAUGGGGAAUCUACCAUCUUUUUCGUUGUGUGUGAGGUUGUGGCUGGAGACGUCAGUUCAGGCAUUUUGCAAAUGCCCCCAGCCCCUGAAUCAUCACUGUGAGGGAGGCACAUGCUUUACUAAGAACUUGCUGCUCUCCUCCAACCCAAUCUGCUCUACUUGGGGGAGCCAAGUGUCUGCAUCCAGGUACUUGCAGGCAGCACUUUCUCUACAUUGGAUGCCAAGAGUGACAGCAAAUGGCUUUCAAUAACUGAGUGCAGACAUCACACCUGUGUCACUUCUGAAGCCUGCCAGAUAUAUGGGGGCCCAGACUAUCUCAGAAGGAGCCUCACAUGCCUUGCCUGUCAGGUGCAAGUGGCAUGGCCCAUACCAGGCAUCUAUGUGUGAG